GCGGGUGUAGUUUAGUGGUAAAACAGAAGCUUCCCAAGCUUCCGUCGCGAGUUCGAUUCUCGUCACCCGCUUCA
This 74-nucleotide transfer RNA is filed under the name Enterococcus diestrammenae. RNAcentral's name for it is "tRNA-Gly". It matches the Rfam family "tRNA". From Rfam's summary of the family: Transfer RNA (tRNA) molecules are approximately 80 nucleotides in length. Lineage: Bacteria; Bacillati; Bacillota; Bacilli; Lactobacillales; Enterococcaceae. RNAcentral also lists the same sequence under 11 other names. The record is from RNAcentral.